Parelaphostrongylus tenuis is the source of this 72-nucleotide non-coding RNA. The record is from the annotation of a GenBank genome assembly. Lineage: Eukaryota; Metazoa; Nematoda; Chromadorea; Rhabditida; Metastrongylidae.
ACCUCGGUAGUGCAGUAGUUAGCACACGCUCCUGGAAUGUAUGAAAUGCGGGUUCAAUUCCCGUCCGAUAUU